AGGUGGAGAUCCUAAGUAGGAUAGUUAUUUUGGAAAGGCUACCCUCUGGCUAGCUUUCCUGAUCCGUGCUCUCAGAGAUGGAAGGUGACCCACGUCCUACUUUUGCGGUUGGGUCAUAUCAAAUCUGUAUCGGCUUACGCGAAGGAAGUUACGAGCAAGUUCCACCGGAAAGAAAAUCUAGCUCGGGGACUGCACUCGAGGCCAAGGAGCGGGCAGCGCGUCCGUGGUGGGGUCGCCCAGCACUGCCAGCCGCGCUGAACCCGACCCCCAGCCUGCGGGGCAGGGCUCCCUGGCUGCCCCGUGGACCCGGCCAGCCCGGGACGAGGACGCAGGGCCUCGGCAGGGACGCCGGAGCCAGCCCUCCGCUAUCCCCACACGCCCCGCGGCCCAGCGGCCGCGCGCACGUUACCUGCGGAGCCCGGCCCUGCCCGCCCGUCUGGGCUGCCGCCCUC
RNAcentral lists this non-coding RNA (452 nucleotides) under Pongo abelii (Sumatran orangutan). Lineage: Eukaryota; Metazoa; Chordata; Mammalia; Primates; Hominidae. The record is from RNAcentral.